GAUGAACGCUGGCGGCGUGCCUAAUACAUGCAAGUCGAGCGAACAGACGAGGAGCUUGCUCCUCUGACGUUAGCGGCGGACGGGUGAGUAACACGUGGAUAACCUACCUAUAAGACUGGGAUAACUUCGGGAAACCGGAGCUAAUACCGGAUAAUAUAUUGAACCGCAUGGUUCAAUAGUGAAAGACGGUUUUGCUGUCACUUAUAGAUGGAUCCGCGCCGCAUUAGCUAGUUGGUAAGGUAACGGCUUACCAAGGCAACGAUGCGUAGCCGACCUGAGAGGGUGAUCGGCCACCCUGGAACUGAGACACGGUCCAGACUCCUACGGGAGGCAGCAGUAGGGAAUCUUCCGCAAUGGGCGAAAGCCUGACGGAGCAACGCCGCGUGUGUGAUGAAGGUCUUCGGAUCGUAAAACUCUGUUAUUAGGGAAGAACAAAUGUGUAAGUAACUAUGCACGUCUUGACGGUACCUAAUCAGAAAGCCACGGCUAACUACGUG
RNAcentral lists this ribosomal RNA (497 nucleotides) under uncultured bacterium. RNAcentral describes it as "partial 16S ribosomal RNA". It matches the Rfam family "Bacterial small subunit ribosomal RNA", at positions 28 to 507 of the family's 1533-position model. The record is from RNAcentral.